This 1458-nucleotide ribosomal RNA is filed under the name uncultured Prevotella sp. Its description in RNAcentral is "bacterial SSU rRNA". It matches the Rfam family "Bacterial small subunit ribosomal RNA". The record is from RNAcentral. Lineage: Bacteria; Pseudomonadati; Bacteroidota; Bacteroidia; Bacteroidales; Prevotellaceae.
GUCCUGGCUCAGGAUGAACGCUAGCUACAGGCUUAACACAUGCAAGUCGAGGGGAAACGACAGAGAGUGCUUGCAUGGGCGUCGACCGGCGAAUGGGUGAGUAACGCGUAUCCAACCUGCCCUUGACAGAGGGAUAGCCCAGUGAAAACUGAAUUAAUACCUCAUGUCCUCCUCCGACGGCAUCAGACGAGGAGUAAAGAUUUAUCGGUCAAGGAUGGGGAUGCGUCUGAUUAGGUAGUAGGCGGGGUAACGGCCCACCUAGCCGACGAUCAGUAGGGGUUCUGAGAGGAAGGUCCCCCACAUUGGUACUGAGACGGACCAAACUCCUACGGGAGGCAGCAGUGAGGAAUAUUGGUCAAUGGGCGGAAGCCUGAACCAGCCAAGUAGGACGACGGCCCUAUGGGUUGUAAACUGCUUUUAUAGGGGAAUAAAGUUAUCCACGUGUGGAUAUUUGCAUACCCUAUGAAUAAGGACCGGCUAAUUCCGUGCCAGCAGCCGCGGUAAUACGGAAGGUCCGGGCGUUAUCCGGAUUGGGUUUAAAGGGAGCGUAGGCGGUAUAUUAAGCGUGUUGUGAAAUGUAGGUGCUCAACAUCUGACUUGCAGCGCGAACUGGUUUACUUGAGUACGCACAACGUAGGCGGAAUUCGUCGUGUAGCGGUGAAAUGCUUAGAUAUGACGAAGAACUCCGAUUGCGAAGGCAGCUUACGGGAGCGCCACUGACGCUGAAGCUCGAAAGUGCGGGUAUCGAACAGGAUUAGAUACCCUGGUAGUCCGCACGGUAAACGAUGGAUGCCCGCUCUGAGUCCUUUUGGAUUUGGGGCCAAGCGAAAGCAUUAAGCAUCCCACCUGGGGAGUACGCCGGCAACGGUGAAACUCAAAGGAAUUGACGGGGGCCCGCACAAGCGGAGGAACAUGUGGUUUAAUUCGAUGAUACGCGAGGAACCUUACCCGGGCUUGAAUUGCAGGAGAACGAUCCAGAGAUGGUGAGGCCCUUCGGGGCUCCUGUGAAGGUGCUGCAUGGUUGUCGUCAGCUCGUGCCGUGAGGUGUCGGCUUAAGUGCCAUAACGAGCGCAACCCCUCUCCUUAGUUGCCAUCAGGUAAUGCUGGGCACUCUGGGGACACUGCCACCGUAAGGUGUGAGGAAGGUGGGGAUGACGUCAAAUCAGCACGGCCCUUACGUCCGGGGCUACACACGUGUUACAAUGGCGUGUACAGAGAGUUGGUGACAUGCAAAUGUCAUCUAAUCCUAAAAGCACGUCUCAGUUCGGACUGGGGUCUGCAACCCGACCCCACGAAGCUGGAUUCGCUAGUAAUCGCGCAUCAGCCAUGGCGCGGUGAAUACGUUCCCGGGCCUUGUACACACCGCCCGUCAAGCCAUGAAAGCCGGGGGUGCCUGAAGUCCGUGACCGGAAGGAUCGGCCUAGGGCAAAACUGGUAAUUGGGGCUAAGUCGUAACAA